This 301-nucleotide ribosomal RNA is filed under the name uncultured bacterium. RNAcentral describes it as "partial 16S ribosomal RNA". It matches the Rfam family "Bacterial small subunit ribosomal RNA", at positions 509 to 807 of the family's 1533-position model. The record is from RNAcentral.
CAGUCGCCACGGGAAAACGGAGGGGGCUAGCGUUGUUCGGAAUUACUGGGCGUAAAGCGCACGUAGGCGGCUUGGUAAGUUAGAGGUGAAAGCCCGGAGCUCAACUCCGGAAUUGCCUUUAAGACUGCCGAGCUAGCAGGUGAGAGAGGUAAGUGGAAUUCCGAGUGUAGAGGUGAAAUUCGUAGAUAUUCGGAAGAACACCAGUGGCGAAGGCGGCUUACUGGCUCAUACUGGACGCUGAGGUGCGAAAGCGUGGGGAGCAAACAGGAUUAGAUACCCGAGUAGUCCCUGUCUCUUAUAC